Molecule: long non-coding RNA, 1643 nt
Filed under: Gallus gallus (chicken)
Lineage: Eukaryota; Metazoa; Chordata; Aves; Galliformes; Phasianidae
Description: lncRNA (ENSGALG00010011319.1)
Source: RNAcentral
AAUUAUUUAAUUCAUUCUCUUAACUGAUUCAUAGCAAGCUGCAAAAAGUUACCUCUCAGGCUACGUUUGAAGUUAUGUCUACUGCUUAUAUCAAACACUGAAGUUAAUUGUCAGCAAAAUCCUUGUAGAAAUACCAUUGGUAGUGUGCAAAGUAAGAAUGUCUUAUUGGAUCACCUGUUUUGCCAGGAUUUGGUGAGGGUAUGCACAUAGACUAAGUGUUUGGUUACUUGCAAAAUGUUCUUCCAUACCAGCACAGCUGAAGACUCAGAGUGAAGGAAGAGUGGAGGAAGGUGAGGUCAGAGGAAAAGGUAGGUCUCACCUAAGCUUGGGACAGACUUCAGGAAAACUGCAUGCCAGUUCUUAAUGCAGUCUUCAAGAGUAAACUCCUGGUAAACCUCCUCUACGUUCAGAUGGAGCCAGUUCAAUCCAGGUCGGCUUUUGGAUCGACACCUUCUCCCUCCCAGUGAGAUAUAGCUCUCUGUGCUGCCCAGCAGCAUUUGGUACAUUUAUAAGGCCAUUUGUGAUAGUACUGUUAUUUUGAGAAUGUUAUGGAGUGGCUGUGUGCUGGGUGGCUGCUGCAGCCAGACACAGCACCAGGAAAGAGAAGGAACAGACUGCAGCAUGGCCAUGCUUGGGAGCAGAAGCAAGGCUUGGCAAGAUCUGCACUGAUAGGCCAUGCUGAGGAUGUGGUUGCUCCAGUGUCCUAAAGCAGGGAUUCCAAGCUCCUGCUUCCCCAGGGGAGGAUAGUGAAGCCUUCUACAUGUAGCAAAUAACCACAGCAGCAGACUGCUGGAGUGCCAGAAGCAGCAACAAAGCGCAUCUGACUGCUCCUGCUGAUUUGUCAACGGUAACUAACCCGAGGUGUGUUCUGGGGGUCAAUACAUCUCUGACAGAGCUGUUCUGCCACCAGUACCUGUGCUGGUGGAUGUUCAACAUGGGGCUGAACGCAGCUGUUGUCACAGACCAUGUGGAUGGUGACCAAUAUCCUAUGUGUGCUACUAAAACAGUAACAAGGAGGGAGCUUACUGUAGAUACAAGAGGUUCACAGCUCUUAAUUCUCUUCCACUUAGCAAUAUUACAGUACAUUCCCCAUAUUAGUGGUCCUAGGUGGCCCAGAGUACAUACAAAUAUGGGAGAGGUCAUCUUGCUUCUGAAGUAAAGCAUAUAGCUUUCCAUAUAAAGGAAAUGUGUGGUUAAAACAGCAACAACAAAAAAUCUUACUUCUGUGCUUGUUAAUGUUUUCACAGCAGUUGAGCAUAUCUGAUUACUCUUACCAGUUUUAGUUUAUCUAGUUUGGUGGUCAAAAUGAGCCUGAUGGAAAGGGAUGUACUAUUCCCUAUCACAUUCUAAACUAUAUCAACCCAGUGAGUUUAAGUGUCACUGUAAAAUCUGAAGCUGGAAACAUAAAUGCUUGCUUUAUCUAAAAUACAAAGAAUGCAGCUCAGCCUGUUAGUGGGCUAGGCUCAGAAUAACCUCCCAGACAACAUGGCAGAGUUUUGGAAAGUUUGUGUACAUGCUAUGUUGUAGAUUUCUUUAAAGAUUAAGAACACAUUAAAGAUAAAGAACACAUUUCUAUAGGUUUUUGCAGAAAGAAAAGAUGCCUUUGUUUAAAAAAUUAUAAUAAUAAAAAAAUGUAUAAGAUG